GAUGAACGCUGGCGGCGUGCCUAAUACAUGCAAGUCGAGCGAACGGACGAGAAGCUUGCUUCCCUGAUGUUAGCGGCGGACGGGUGAGUAACACGUGGAUAACCUACCUAUAAGACUGGGAUAACUUCGGGAAACCGGAGCUAAUACCGGAUGAUAUUUUGAACCGCAUGGUUCAAAAGUGAAUGACGGUCUUGCUGUCACUUAUAGAUGGAUCCGCGCUGCAUUAGCUAGUUGGUAAGGUAACGGCUUACCAAGGCAACGAUGCGUAGCCGACCUGAGAGGGUGAUCAGCCACACUGGAACUGAGACACGGUCCAGACUCCUACGGGAGGCAGCAGUAGGGAAUCUUCCGCAAUGGGCGAAAGCCUGACGGAGCAACGCCGCGUGAGUGAUGAAGGUCUUCGGAUCGUAAAACUCUGUUAUUAGGGAAGAACAUAUGUGUAAGUAACUGUGCACAUCUUGACGGUACCUAAUCAGAAAGCCACGGCUAACUACGUG
This 497-nucleotide ribosomal RNA is filed under the name uncultured bacterium. Its description in RNAcentral is "partial 16S ribosomal RNA". It matches the Rfam family "Bacterial small subunit ribosomal RNA", at positions 28 to 507 of the family's 1533-position model. The record is from RNAcentral.